AUUGAACGCUGGCGGCAGGCCUAACACAUGCAAGUCGAGCGAGCGGCGGAAGGGUGAGUAAUGUAUGGGGACUGCCCGAUAGAGGGGGAUAAGUACUGGAAACGGUGGCUAAACCGGAAUACUGUGGGAUAACCCAUAUGGGAUUAGCUGGUAGGUAAGGUAAUGGCUUACCUAGGCGACGAUCCCUAGCUGGUCUGAGAGGAUGAUCAGCCACACUGGGACUGAGACACGGCCCAGACUCCUACGGAGGCAGCAGUGGGGAAUAUUGCACAAUGGGCGCAAGCCUGAUGCAGCCAUGCCGCGUGUAUGAAGAAGGCCCUAGGGUUGUAAAGUACUUUCAGUCGGGAGGCGUUACCGACAGAAGAAGCACCGGCUAACUCCGUGCCAGCAGCCGCGGUAAUAC
RNAcentral lists this ribosomal RNA (403 nucleotides) under uncultured bacterium. RNAcentral's name for it is "partial 16S ribosomal RNA". It matches the Rfam family "Bacterial small subunit ribosomal RNA", at positions 30 to 526 of the family's 1533-position model. The record is from RNAcentral.